GUGGGGAAUAUUGGACAAUGGGCGCAAGCCUGAUCCAGCCAUGCCGCGUGAGUGAUGAAGGCCUUAGGGUUGUAAAGCUCUUUCACCGAUGAAGAUAAUGACGGUAGUCGGAGAAGAAGCCCCGGCUAACUUCGUGCAAGCAGCCGCGGUAAUACGAAGGGGGCUAGCGUUGUUCGGAUUUACUGGGCGUAAAGCGCACGUAGGCGGUUGGUUAAGUCAGGGGUGAAAUCCCGGAGCUCAACUCCGGAACUGCCUUUGAUACUGGCAAGAUAGAGUCCGGAAGAGGUAAGUGGAACUCCUAGUGUAGAGGUGGAAUUCGUAGAUAUUAGGAAGAACACCAGUGGCGAAGGCGGCUUACUGGUCCGGAACUGACGCUGAGGUGCGAAAGCGUGGGGAGCAAACAGGAUUAGAAACCCUUGUAGUCC
RNAcentral lists this ribosomal RNA (425 nucleotides) under uncultured bacterium. RNAcentral describes it as "partial 16S ribosomal RNA". It matches the Rfam family "Bacterial small subunit ribosomal RNA", at positions 354 to 796 of the family's 1533-position model. The record is from RNAcentral.